Molecule: small nuclear RNA, 107 nt
Organism: Hevea brasiliensis (rubber tree)
Lineage: Eukaryota; Viridiplantae; Streptophyta; Magnoliopsida; Malpighiales; Euphorbiaceae
Source: RefSeq, a predicted model, not a curated record
UUUGGGGAUCGGCCAAAAUAUGGUGUCGACAGGAAUGAUACAGAGAAGAUUAGCAUGGCCCCUAGGCAAGGAUGACACGCACAAAUCAAGAAAUGGUCCAAAUUUUU